ACUUCCUCCUAAAUAGAGGCCCUGUCUGAUAUGGCCGAGAUCAGCGUUGGGCUGCCACUAAAAAGGUAGCGACGGCUAUCAGCAUUUAGCACCUGACCGUCACCCCCUUUAAUCCCGUCCUUUCUUUCCUGGUACAAGCUCCAAUCCAAUGAUUUCUCUAGGGUUUUGACAGCCCAAAAAAAUAAUUCUCUCUGGGGAUUUCGCGUCAAGAAGAAUCUCGGCCAUCAUUCUCUGCGUCGUCGAGUAAACUCCAUGAAUUGAAAUGUGUCAGUAUCGACCAUGGGAAGAUGAUUCAGCACAAAUUGAAGAUUAUGAACAACGUACUAGAAAUAACACAGGGCAUGUAGAUACAAGGUUGGAGGCUCGGGUAGCUUUAUUGGAGGCACGGAUGGCAAAUGUUGAGGCUCGAGUGGAAAGGCUUGAGGCGAAGAUGUUCUUUUUGCAAAAGGGAAUGCGUGUAGUGUGUGCUUUGUUUUUGGUCACUCUUGCAUAUGCUGUAUGUAAAUGAAUUCUGGAGAUGAUUCACUCAUUAGUCUCAGGCUUGUAUCUGCGCUGCUCUUAAUGAGAUACACUGGAAAAUGUGUUUCAUAAAAUGAAGAAUGUUUGUGCCCACAUAAAAGGCGGAAAGAUGACUAUAUAUACAAAUACCUAAUGUCCACUAGAGUAGAAGAUGGCCCGCAGGGAGGACUAAGUUAUGGGACCUGGUAUUUGUUAAUGUAUCCGCUUAUUACGGCUUUUGUCUGAAUGGCAAUUACCAAUUAUGAUGCUA
Long non-coding RNA from Populus euphratica (Euphrates poplar), 769 nucleotides. RefSeq lists it as uncharacterized. The transcript is spliced from 2 exons. NCBI's taxonomy places the organism in Eukaryota, Viridiplantae, Streptophyta, Magnoliopsida, Malpighiales, Salicaceae. The record is from RefSeq and is a predicted model, not a curated record.